Molecule: ribosomal RNA, 423 nt
Filed under: uncultured organism
Description: bacterial SSU rRNA
Rfam family: Bacterial small subunit ribosomal RNA
Source: RNAcentral
UAAGGAAUAUUGGUCAAUGGACGGAAGUCUGAACCAGCCAUGCCGCGUGCAGGAAGACGGCCCUACGGGUUGUAAACUGCUUUUGUACGGGAACAAACCCAGGUACGUGUACCUGGCUGAGUGUACUGUAAGAAUAAGGAUCGGCUAACUCCGUGCCAGCAGCCGCGGUAAUACGGAGGAUCCGAGCGUUAUCCGGAUUUAUUGGGUUUAAAGGGUGCGUAGGCGGCCAUUUAAGUCAGGGGUGAAAUACGGCAGCUCAACUGUCGCAGUGCCUUUGAUACUGAUUGGCUUGAAUGCGGAUGAGGUAGGCGGAAUGAGACAAGUAGCGGUGAAAUGCAUAGAUAUGUCUCAGAACUCCGAUUGCGAAGGCAGCUUACUAAGUCGUGAUUGACGCUGAUGCACGAAAGCGUGGGGAUCAAACAG